GACGAACGCUGGCGGCGUGCCUAAUACAUGCCAGUCGAGCGGACUUAAAAAGCUUGCUUUUUAAGUUAGCGGCGGACGGGUGAGUAACACGUGGGCAACCUGCCUGUAAGACUGGGAUAACUUCGGGAAACCGGAGCUAAUACCGGAUAAUCCUUUUCUACUCAUGUAGAAAAGCUGAAAGACGGUUUACGCUGUCACUUACAGAUGGGCCCGCGGCGCAUUAGCUAGUUGGUGAGGUAACGGCUCACCAAGGCGACGAUGCGUAGCCGACCUGAGAGGGUGAUCGGCCACAUUGGGACUGAGACACGGCCCAGACUCCUACGGGAGGCAGCAGUAGGGAAUCUUCCGCAAUGGACGAAAGUCUGACGGAGCAACGCCGCGUGAGUGAUGAAGGUUUUCGGAUCGUAAAACUCUGUUGUUAGGGAAGAACAAGUACGAGAGUAACUGCUCGUACCUUGACGGUACCUAACCAGAAAGCCACGGCUAACUACGUG
RNAcentral lists this ribosomal RNA (494 nucleotides) under uncultured bacterium. RNAcentral's name for it is "partial 16S ribosomal RNA". It matches the Rfam family "Bacterial small subunit ribosomal RNA", at positions 28 to 507 of the family's 1533-position model. The record is from RNAcentral.